GAUGAACGCUAGCGACAGGCUUAACACAUGCAAGUCGAGGGGCAGCGGGGGUAGCAAUACCCGCCGGCGACCGGCGCACGGGUGAGUAACGCGUAUGCAACUUACCUAUCAGAGGGGGAUAACCCGGCGAAAGUCGGACUAAUACCGCAUGAAGCAGGGAUCCCGCAUGGGAAUAUUUGCUAAAGAUUCAUCGCUGAUAGAUAGGCAUGCGUUCCAUUAGGCAGUUGGCGGGGUAACGGCCCACCAAACCGACGAUGGAUAGGGGUUCUGAGAGGAAGGUCCCCCACAUUGGUACUGAGACACGGACCAAACUCCUACGGGAGGCAGCAGUGAGGAAUAUUGGUCAAUGGCCGAGAGGCUGAACCAGCCAAGUCGCGUGAGGGAUGAAGGUUCUAUGGAUCGUAAACCUCUUUUAUAAGGGAAUAAAGUGCGGGACGUGUCCCGUUUUGUAUGUACCUUAUGAAUAAGGAUCGGCUAACUCCGUGCCAGCAGCCGCGGUAAUACGGAGGAUCCGAGCGUUAUCCGGAUUUAUUGGGUUUAAAGGGUGCGUAGGCGGCCUUUUAAGUCAGCGGUGAAAGUCUGUGGCUCAACCAUAGAAUUGCCGUUGAAACUGGGGGGCUUGAGUAUGUUUGAGGCAGGCGGAAUGCGUGGUGUAGCGGUGAAAUGCAUAGAUAUCACGCAGAACCCCGAUUGCGAAGGCAGCCUGCCAAGCCAUGACUGACGCUGAUGCACGAAAGCGUGGGGAUCAAACAGGAUUAGAUAUCCUGGUAGUCCACGCAGUAAACGAUGAUCACUAGCUGUUUGCGAUACACUGUAAGCGGCACAGCGAAAGCGUUAAGUGAUCCACCUGGGGAGUACGCCGGCAACGGUGAAACUCAAAGGAAUUGACGGGGGCCCGCACAAGCGGAGGAACAUGUGGUUUAAUUCGAUGAUACGCGAGGAACCUUACCCGGGUUUGAACGCAUUCGGACCGAGGUGGAAACACCUUUUCUAGCAAUAGCCGUUUGCGAGGUGCUGCAUGGUUGUCGUCAGCUCGUGCCGUGAGGUGUCGGCUUAAGUGCCAUAACGAGCGCAACCCUUGCCACUAGUUACUAACAGGUAAAGCUGAGGACUCUGGUGGGACUGCCAGCGUAAGCUGCGAGGAAGGCGGGGAUGACGUCAAAUCAGCACGGCCCUUACAUCCGGGGCGACACACGUGUUACAAUGGCGUGGACAAAGGGAAGCCACCUGGCGACAGGGAGCGAAUCCCCAAACCACGUCUCAGUUCGGAUCGGAGUCUGCAACCCGACUCCGUGAAGCUGGAUUCGCUAGUAAUCGCGCAUCAGCCAUGGCGCGGUGAAUACGUUCCCGGGCCU
This 1355-nucleotide ribosomal RNA is filed under the name uncultured bacterium. RNAcentral describes it as "bacterial SSU rRNA". It matches the Rfam family "Bacterial small subunit ribosomal RNA", at positions 28 to 1381 of the family's 1533-position model. The record is from RNAcentral.